GCCACGCCCGCCUCAGAAACUACAAAGGAAUUGACGGGGGCCCCGCACAAGCGGUGGAGUAUGUGGUUUUAAUUCGAUGCAACGCGAAGAACCUUACCUAGGUUUGACAUCCGGAAGACCUUCCCGAAAAGGAAGGGUGCCCUUCGGGGAAUUCCGAGACAGGUGCUGCAUGGCUGUCGUCAGCUCGUGCGUGAGGUGUUGGGUUAAGUCCCGCAACGAGCGCAACCCUAUUGCCAGUUGCUACCAGGUAAUGCUGGGCACUCUGGUGAGACUGCCCCGGUUAACGGGGAGGAAGGUGGGGACGACGUCAAGUCAUCAUGGCCCUUACGCCUAGGGCUACACACGUACUACAAUGGCGCAUACAAAGGGCAGCGAUACCGCGAGGUGGAGCCAAUCCCAAAAAGUGCGUCCCAGUCCGGAUUGCAGUCUGCAACUCGACUGCAUGAAGUUGGAAUCGCUAGUAAUUCGAGAUCAGCAUGCUCGGGUGAAUGCGUUCCCGGGCCUU
RNAcentral lists this ribosomal RNA (505 nucleotides) under uncultured Desulfovibrio sp. RNAcentral describes it as "bacterial SSU rRNA". It matches the Rfam family "Bacterial small subunit ribosomal RNA", at positions 903 to 1382 of the family's 1533-position model. The record is from RNAcentral. Lineage: Bacteria; Pseudomonadati; Thermodesulfobacteriota; Desulfovibrionia; Desulfovibrionales; Desulfovibrionaceae.